CCGCGGCGCCCGCACCUGGCCGCUGGCGGCCGCUCUAGGAACGCGCGCGGGCUUCUCGGUGGUGGCGUGGGGGCUGCCUAGCGCCAUGGACCCGCUCGCCCCAGCCCCGCCCUUCCUCCGCCGCAGUGCAGGAGCCUCCCGGCGGCAUCCCCGAGCCAGCCCUGGUUAGCGGGAGCCGCUCUCAGAAAAUGUGAAUAUAGAGGAAUAUAAAGAAAAACAUUCUAAAAUCACCCAUAACCUCCGUAUCCAUGUUUUAGUCUUCACAUGGGUGCCCUGGAACAAACCGUGCAAGUGAAGGGCAUCCUCAUGGAACUGAGAUGCACUGGGGUGGAUGAUCCAGGAAACUGACAGGCAGGGUCUUGCUCUGUUGCCUAGACAGGAGCGUCACAGCAUGAUCAUGGUUCGCUGCAGCCUCGACCACCUGGACUCAAGCAGUCCUCCCACCUCAGUCUCCAGAGGACCUGAGACUACAGGCUGGAAUGCAACGGCACAAUCUCAACUCACUGCAACUUCUGCCUCCCGGGUUCAAGUGACUCAUGCCUCAGCCUCCCGAGUAGCUGAGAUUACAGGCACCCACCACCAUGUCUGGCUAAUUUUAUAUUUUUAGUAGAGACAGGGUUUCACCAUAGUGGCCAGGCUGGUCUCAAACUCCUGACCUUGGCUGAUCUGCCCGCCUCGGCCUCCCUAACUGCUGGGAUUACAGGCGUAAGCCACCGCGCCCAAUGUCAUUAUUGCUGAGUACAACUUUUUUUUUUUUUUUUGAGAUGGAGUUUCGCUCUUGUCACCCAGGCUGGAGUGCAAUGGCACGAUCUCGGCUCACCGCAACCUCCGCCUCCUGGGUUCAGGCAAUUCUCCUGCCUCAGCCUCCUGAGUAGCUGGGAUUACAGGCAUGCGCCACCAUGUCCAGCUAAUUUUUUUUUGUAUUUUUAGUAGAGACAGGGUUUCACCACUUUGACCAGGAUGAUCUCGAUCUCUUGACCUUCUGAUCCACCCGCCUCGGCCUCCCACGUGCUGCGAUUACAGGCGUGAGCCACCGCACCCGGCCGAGUACAACAUUUUAUGUAUAUAUUAUGCUAUAGAUGUGUCUAUUAAAUUAAGGUUAUCAUUGACAUUAUUUAAAUCUUUAAAAUCCUCAUUUUUGUCUGCUUAAAUUAACAAUUAAUGAGAAAGCUAUAUUAAAACCUCUCUGUAUUAUUUAAUUUAUUUAUUUAUUUUUAGACAAGGUGUUACUAUGUCUCCCAGGCUGGAGUGCAGUGGCACAAUCCUGGCUCACUGAAGCCUCAGCCUCCUGGGCUCAAGUGAUUCUCAUGCUGCAGCCUCCCAAGUAGCUAGGACUACAGGGACGCAUCACCAUGCCCAGCUAAUUUUUAAAUUUUUUUGUAGAGAUGGGGUCUUGUCAUGUAGCCCAGGCUGGUCUGGAACUGCUGGGCUCAAGUGAUCCUCCCACCUCGGUCUCCCAAAGUGCUGGAAUUACAGGCAUGAGCCACUGCACCCAGCCAGUUUAUUGUUAAAGCAAGUAUUUGGCUUCACCUUGUUUUGUUAAUGCCCAGAUAUCUGCAUGAUUAUUAAUUUUAAAAUAAAUGAAUAAUUAUUGUA
Molecule: RNA transcript, 1596 nt
Organism: Callithrix jacchus (white-tufted-ear marmoset)
Lineage: Eukaryota; Metazoa; Chordata; Mammalia; Primates; Cebidae
Source: RefSeq, a predicted model, not a curated record